UCCAGACUCCUACGGGAGGCAGCAGUGAGGAAUAUUGGUCAAUGGCCGGAAGGCUGAACCAGCCAAGUCGCGUGAGGGAAUAAGGCCCUAUGGGUCGUAAACCUCUUUUGUCAGGGAGCAAAGGCGUCCACGAGUGGACGAAAGGAGAGUACCUGAAGAAAAAGCAUCGGCUAACUCCGUGCCAGCAGCCGCGGUAAUACGGAGGAUGCGAGCGUUAUCCGGAUUUAUUGGGUUUAAAGGGUGCGUAGGCGGAGUGUCAAGUCAGCGGUAAAAUUUCGGGGCUCAACCCCGUCGUGCCGUUGAAACUGACACCCUUGAGUGAGUGAGAAGUAAGCGGAAUGCGUGGUGUAGCGGUGAAAUGCAUAGAUAUCACGCAGAACGCCGAUUGCGAAGGCAGCCUCCUGGGACGCAACUGACGCUCAUACACGAAAGCGUGGGGAGCAAACAGGAUUAGAUACCCGGGUA
Molecule: ribosomal RNA, 465 nt
Filed under: uncultured bacterium
Lineage: Bacteria
Description: bacterial SSU rRNA
Rfam family: Bacterial small subunit ribosomal RNA
Source: RNAcentral